AUUGCAUCGAUCCUCAACCUCCAUUCAAGAACUUAUUUGCACCAAUGACCUCCCUCUAAGACUCCUACCAAUCGGUGGAGUCCUUCAACCGCCCCUUGGAGAUAGCAUUUCGAGGAAUGGAGUUAUGAAGAAAUAAAAUAAAAACCAAAAAACAAGAACACCGUCGUAUUAAAAUGCUUUAUAUACAAUGCACCUUUGAAAGUUGUCUCAGAAUCUCUUUAGUUGAAAAGAUUUGUAUAACCAAUAUAAUUUUAAUCACAACUAUUGUUCAUGCUACAAUGGUUAGGGAAUAUGAGG
This 297-nucleotide long non-coding RNA is filed under the name Elaeis guineensis (African oil palm). RNAcentral's name for it is "long non-coding RNA (EGUI_LNC030625)". The record is from RNAcentral. Lineage: Eukaryota; Viridiplantae; Streptophyta; Magnoliopsida; Arecales; Arecaceae.